RNAcentral lists this transfer RNA (73 nucleotides) under Pleurastrum terricola. RNAcentral's name for it is "tRNA-Val". It matches the Rfam family "tRNA". From Rfam's summary of the family: Transfer RNA (tRNA) molecules are approximately 80 nucleotides in length. The record is from RNAcentral. Lineage: Eukaryota; Viridiplantae; Chlorophyta; Chlorophyceae; Chlamydomonadales; Pleurastraceae.
AGGCCUAUAACUCAGUUGGUAGAGUGUUUGCCUUACAAGCAAAGAGCCAUCGGUUCGAGUCCGAUUGGGCCUA